GAUGAACGCUAGCUACAGGCUUAACACAUGCAAGUCGAGGGACCGGCGCACGGGAGAGUAACACGUAUCCAACCUGCCCUUUACUCGGUGAUAGCCUUUCGAAAGAAAGAUUAAUACCCGAUAUAAAGGUUGGGGAUGCGUUCCAUUAGGUUUUUGGUGAGGUAACGGCUCACCAAGCCUUCUAUGGAUAGGGGUUCUGAGAGGAAGGACCACCAGAUUGGAACUGAGACACGGACCAAACUCUUACGGGAGGCAGCAGUGAGGGAUAUUGGUCAAUGGGCGAUAGCAUGAACCAGCCAAGUAGAGUGAAGGAUGAUGUCUUAUGGGUCGUAAACUUGUUUUAUAUAAGAAUAUGUAUUAUAUGAAUAAGGACCGGCUAACUCCGUGCCAGCAGACGCGGUAAUUC
This 406-nucleotide ribosomal RNA is filed under the name uncultured bacterium. Its description in RNAcentral is "partial 16S ribosomal RNA". It matches the Rfam family "Bacterial small subunit ribosomal RNA", at positions 28 to 526 of the family's 1533-position model. The record is from RNAcentral.